AGAACUGGAAUUAACGGAAAUUAGGCUGUAACGGCGGUAAAAACGGGUGAACUACGAAGAGAGGGGGAAAUUUGAAUAAAAUUGAAAUCGAUCAGGAAUAAAAAGAAGAGAAUAAACAAUAUAAAAAGAGGAGGAAGAAAGAGGGAGAAACAGAAGGCGCGAAGAAACAGGCGACGGACUUCUUAUUUUCGGGCAGCCGUAAAAACGACUGCGAAAUAAACGCCGUCGUACCUGACGUUGUGUUGUGCUGUUCUCUCUCUACACGUUGACAACCCCGCCACCUCGACGCGCGAUUACUACUGCCAAAAUGGAAGAGCAAAGCGUGCACAGCAGUACCAGUGAUAUAAAUAGUGAAGAGGCGGCCGCCACCGAACCUCUGAUCAUACCGAGAAAAAAACGAAUAUGUCUCGUCGGAAGUACAGGAGAAGAUCCGGCCCUUGGAGCUGCUGCUCAACAGUUCAGCGUUCCUGUACUGAAGUCAGAACAAGGGACGGAGUACGUCGAAGACACAACUUACUGCACCUAUUACAUACUAAGCAAAUUCGAGGGAGCAGAUUACGACACUCUCCACAAAACAGCUCACAGAAUACUAGGACCAACGGCGCUUCUCCAGCUGGCGGAGAAGAAAGAGUCCCUGCCAAGUAUCAACAGGCCGAUGUAUACCCAAUCGAUGCUGGGAACGAUUGUUGUUUUCACCGGUUUUAGAAAAAAGGAAGAAUUGACCAGACUGAUAAACAUGAUUCACAACAUGGGUGGCAGCAUAAGGAAGGAUAUGGGAAACAAAGUGACACACCUUAUUGCCAAUUGCUGUGGGGGAGACAAAUACAGGUAUGCCAUUACCUUUAGGAUUCCAAUUAUGUCCUCGGAUUGGGUGCUUGAACUUUGGAAUGCGAGGGACGACGUUGCGAGCAGCAGUUCCAACGACAAACUGAUCGCAGAUUACAAACUUAAGCCAUUCUUUGGAGCAAAGGUGUGUUUCUUCGGUUUUCCCGACGACGAAAAGACGCACAUGUACGAAGUGCUUCAGCAACAAGGCGGGGAACCGGCUGAAAUCGACGAUCCAAACUGCACGCAUGUGGUGACUAACAAAGAUGGCGGCCAGACGAGUACUUUGGAUAAAUCGAGAGCCUCUUGGUAUCGAUCAUACUCAAAACAAGAGUUUAGAUCGCUGACCUCUGAAAGAUCAUGUGAGAUUGAAUCAAGCCAGAACUUUUCAUUUGUCUAUUACAAUCCUUACACAAACGAGAAAAUACCAAACUCUUAUCCGAGUUCAAUAUCUUCAAUACAUUCGCAGCGCUGUUGCAACUGCCUCUGUCAUUUUUGCUUUUGCAAUUACAACUGCGAAAAAAAUUCAACCAUGGUGAGGCGCAAAAGGCGGGCUGAUGAUUCUUCGUCUUCGCCUCGAGAUGAUUCGACAAUGGAAAAAUUCUGCGCGACAGGAUUUCCCAAAACCUCAAAACAUUGCCAGCGACAUCGCGCGCCCAAACAUCCUCGAUAUGAUUCUGCCAUAUCUUUGAACGACAGUUCAAUCGACGGAGGCGGAAAUUAUCAUUCGGAUGACUCUGGUUAUUCGGCAUUGAAUUCUUUGGGAUCAAGCAUGUUGAAUUUGACCCAACUCUCUCUUUCUCAGGUUUUUGAUAAUCCCACCAAUCUUAGUUUCGCCUCGUUUCGUUCUCCAUCUCGGAUUUUUUCCACUGUAAAAAAUUUGUCCAAGCAGUCUAGAAGAUUUCUUACUCCCAGGCGAUAUGUUUUAUUGAAAAGACACAGCUCUUGUGUCUCUGAAUCGAAACAAACUGCGAGGCUCUAUUCGAAUCAGAAUAAAAAAAUCUUCAGAAUCUAUUCCCACCCAAAUUUAUCCCGGAAUUCUUGCUCCGAGGAAUCGCCCCCGCUAUUACGGAAGAACAACAGUUUUUCAAGUCUACGUGACAUUGGCAACAAUUCUUAUACCUCUUGGGCUUUCAAUGUCUACCCUAAACGGGAUACAAUUCAGAAAAAUUCUUGCUGCUGCUGUUGCAGCAGAGAACGAUAUCUUGUGAAUUAUUUUCGUCGUAUGUUUGGCAUAAAAUUCUAUUCUGGUCUAUUUGAAUCAAAAUCAAGUCUGCGAAAUGGGGGUGCGAAAUGCACAAGCUCGGUUCCAUCAGCAUUCAGCUAUUCAAAUGACCUUAAAAAUCGGGCAAACGAAGCUGGCGAAAAAACGAAGAGGGAUCACGAGAAGCCAGACAAUUCGGUCGUGGAUGAAUCCAACGUCAAUUCGCUGCCUGACUUGGCCUCUGUGAGAGCCCACAUAGUAAAGGCUGAAUGGUUUUGGACCUCGGUCCAAAAUGAAGGCGCCGCAUAUGAGAAAGAUUACCUCUUCGAAGAUUAUUUGGAGUCUGUAAUGUCCCCGAUGGCGAUGGCGAGGAGGGACAGUCAGGCAGCAACGCCUAGAACCGCUUCGACGAAAAGAAAGCGCAAGAGAAUGGCCGAAACUUUAUGUAGUCUGGUACAAAACGGUGCUGAUUCGCCGGCAGUUCAUAAACGACGGUCGAGUAUCAGUGACGCUGGUCAUCUCAGCGUAAGCGGCAGCUUUCUUGACUGCACUUCGAGUCCCGACAAACAAUUGGAUGCAAUUCCAGAGGUUGAAGCGGUGAGCACAGAAGCGGGAAGGAAAAAUCUCUCGCCUAGGCAUCAAGUUUUCCUUGAGCUAGUUACAACGGAGUCAAACUACGUGGGAAUCCUCAGUACGAUUAUGACGCUGUUCAAAGAACCGCUUGAGGACUUGAUUGAAAUGAGCGGCGAAUUGUUGAACAGCACCGAAGCGAAGAUAAUAUUUGGCAACUUUCCACCGAUUUACGAAGUGCAUAAAAAGAUGCUCGAGGAGCUCAGGUAUAACGCUUCUCACUGGGCAGAAGACGUCAGCAUAGGGAAUAUAUUUUUAAAGUACGCGCCUGACUUGGUCAAGGCAUAUCCGCCGUACGUUAAUUUCUUCGAGAAUACAAAGGAAAUGCUCGAUCAAUGCGAUCAGAACAAACCGCGCUUUCACGCCUUCCUCAAAAUAUGCCAAACCAAGCCCGAAUGUGGCAGGCAGAGCCUUAAGGAACUUCUUAUCAAGCCUGUUCAGAGGCUACCCAGUAUUAGCUUAUUGUUAAACGAUAUUCUUAAGCACACAAGUAAAAGCAAUCCUGACCACAGUGCGUUGGAAUUGUCGAUAAGUAGUAUAAAAGAAGUAAUGACUUAUAUAAACGAGGACAAGAGAAAAACGGAAGGACAAUUAGUGAUGUUUGACAUAUUUAACGACAUUGAUAAUUGCCCAGCUCAUUUAGUAUCUUCACAUCGUUCUUUCAUUGGCAAAUGCGAAGUGAUGGAAUUGGGCGAAGGUUUGAGCGGGCGAGGCGAUCAUCUCGUCCUGUUCCUCUUCACCGACACUUUGGAAAUAUGCAAGAAACGCUCAAAAGCUUUCAAUUCCCUGAAAAGUCCGAAGGAAGCCAAUGGUCUUCAUCCCACUAAACUUAGCCAAGGAAAACCGUACAAACAUAUAAGAAUGCUCUCCCUUAGCACGAUAAAAAAGGUCGUCGAUAUUCGCGAAACUGACGGACACAUUUUUAAUCAGUUUGGAUUCUCAUCAGCUUGAAAUUGACACGAGCGACGUAGCCUUAGGAACUUUAAGUAAAGCAUUUAAGAGCCUAUUUCAUAACUUUUACCUGGAGUAUAUGGACCCGUUUGCUUCACGUACAAGGAUGAAAGUCGGAAGGGCAUUUAGCUUUAACAAAACGCCGAGUAAAUUGAAGAGGGCAAUGUCGACGAUGAUGUCGCCGU
This 3795-nucleotide unclassified non-coding RNA is filed under the name Neodiprion pinetum (white pine sawfly). Its description in RNAcentral is "protein ECT2, transcript variant X6". The record is from RNAcentral. Lineage: Eukaryota; Metazoa; Arthropoda; Insecta; Hymenoptera; Diprionidae.